GGACCCGCACAAGCGGUGGAUGAUGUGGUUUAAUUCGAUGCAACGCGAAAAACCUUACCUACCCUUGACAUGCCAGGAACUUGCCAGAGAUGGCUUGGUGCUCGAAAGAGAACCUGGACACAGGUGCUGCAUGGCCGUCGUCAGCUCGUGUCGUGAGAUGUUGGGUUAAGUCCCGCAACGAGCGCAACCCUUGUCAUUAGUUGCUACGAAAGGGCACUCUAAUGAGACUGCCGGUGACAAACCGGAGGAAGGUGGGGAUGACGUCAGGUCCUCAUGGCCCUUAUGGGUAGGGCUACACACGUCAUACAAUGGCCGGUACAGAGGGUUGCCAACCCGCGAGGGGGAGCUAAUCCCAGAAAACCGGUCGUAGUCCGGAUCGCAGUCUGCAACUCGACUGCGUGAAGUCGGAAUCGCUAGUAAUCGCGGAUCAGCUUGCCGCGGUGAAUACGUUCCCGGGUCUU
RNAcentral lists this ribosomal RNA (461 nucleotides) under uncultured bacterium. Its description in RNAcentral is "bacterial SSU rRNA". It matches the Rfam family "Bacterial small subunit ribosomal RNA", at positions 917 to 1382 of the family's 1533-position model. The record is from RNAcentral.